UGGGGAAUUUUGGACAAUGGGGGCAACCCUGAUCCAGCCAUGCCGCGUGAGUGAAGAAGGCCUUCGGGUUGUAAAGCUCUUCAUGCAAGGGAAGAAAUCGUAUGGGCUAAUACCCGGUGCGGAUGACGGUACCGGCAUAAGAAGCACCGGCUAACUACGUG
This 161-nucleotide ribosomal RNA is filed under the name uncultured beta proteobacterium. RNAcentral's name for it is "partial 16S ribosomal RNA". It matches the Rfam family "Bacterial small subunit ribosomal RNA", at positions 355 to 507 of the family's 1533-position model. The record is from RNAcentral. Lineage: Bacteria; Pseudomonadati; Pseudomonadota; Betaproteobacteria.